Molecule: ribosomal RNA, 253 nt
Filed under: uncultured bacterium
Lineage: Bacteria
Description: partial 16S ribosomal RNA
Rfam family: Bacterial small subunit ribosomal RNA
Source: RNAcentral
UACGUAGGGACCAAGCGUUGUUCGGAUUUACUGGGCGUAAAGGGCGCGUAGGCGGCAGAUCAAGUCAGCUGUGAAAUCUCCGAGCUUAACUCGGAACGGUCAGCUGAUACUGUAUUGCUAGAGUACAGAAGGGGCAAUCGGAAUUCUUGGUGUAGCGGUGAAAUGCGCAGAUAUCAGGAGGAACCCCUAUGGCCAAGGCAGCUCGCUGGGACGGUACUGACGCUGAGGCGCGAAAGCGUGGGGAGCAAACAGG